UCUUAAAGAGAUGAUACUGGUGGUGAGGA
This 29-nucleotide non-coding RNA is filed under the name Rattus norvegicus (Norway rat). Lineage: Eukaryota; Metazoa; Chordata; Mammalia; Rodentia; Muridae. The record is from RNAcentral.